This 437-nucleotide ribosomal RNA is filed under the name uncultured bacterium. RNAcentral describes it as "bacterial SSU rRNA". It matches the Rfam family "Bacterial small subunit ribosomal RNA", at positions 32 to 515 of the family's 1533-position model. The record is from RNAcentral.
AACGCUGGCGGCGGCCUAAACAUGCAAGUCGAGCGGGCAUCGCAAGAUGUCAGCGGCAGACGGGAGAGUAACACGUGGGAACAUGCCCUUCGGUUCGGAAUAACUCAGGGAAACUUGAGCUAAUACCGGAUACGUCCGUAAGGAGAAAGAUUUAUCGCCGAAGGAUUGGCCCGCGUCCGAUUAGCUAGUUGGUGAGGUAACGGCUCACCAAGGCGACGAUCGGUAGCUGGUCUGAGAGGAUGAUCAGCCUCACUGGGACUGAGACACGGCCCAGACUCCUACGGGAGGCAGCAGUGGGGAAUAUUGGACAAUGGGCGCAAGCCUGAUCCAGCCAUGCCGCGUGGGUGAUGAAGGCCCUAGGGUUGUAAAGCCCUUUCGGCGGGGAAGAUAAUGACGGUACCCGCAGAAGAAGCCCCGGCUAACUUCGUGCCAGCAGC